GACGAACGCUGGCGGCGUGCUUAACACAUGCAAGUCGUGCGGUAAGGCCCUUUCGGGGGUACACGAGCGGCGAACGGGUGAGUAACACGUGAGCAACCUGCCCUUCACUUUGGGAUAACUGCCGGAAACGGUGGCUAAUACCGGAUAUGACUUUCUCACGCAUGUGGGGUGGUGGAAAGCCUUCGGGCGGUGGGGGGUGGGCUCGAGGUCUAUCCGCUUGUAGGUGGGGUGAUGGCCUACCAAGGCUUCGACGGGUAGCCGGCCUGAGAGGGUGACCGGCCACACUGGGACUGAGACACGGCCCAGACUCCUCCGGGAGGCAGCAGUGGGGAAUAUUGGACACUGGGCGCAAGCCUGAUCCAGCAACGCCGCGUGAGGGAUGACGGCCUUCGGGUUGUAAACCUCUUUCGCCUGCGACGAAGCGAGAGUGACGGUAGCAGGUAAAGAAGCGCCGGCCAACUACGUG
Molecule: ribosomal RNA, 466 nt
Filed under: uncultured bacterium
Lineage: Bacteria
Description: partial 16S ribosomal RNA
Rfam family: Bacterial small subunit ribosomal RNA
Source: RNAcentral